UACGUAGGGUGCGAGCGUUGUCCGGAUUUAUUGGGCGUAAAGAGCUUGUAGGCGGCUCGUCACGUCGGGUGUGAAAACUCGCGGCUCAACCGCGAGCCUGCACCCGAUACGGGCGGGCUGGAGUUCGGCAGGGGAGACUGGAAUUCCUGGUGUAGCGGUGGAAUGCGCAGAUAUCAGGAGGAACACCGGUGGCGAAGGCGGGUCUCUGGGCCGAUGACUGACGCUGAGAAGCGAAAGCGUGGGGAGCGAACAGG
Molecule: ribosomal RNA, 254 nt
Filed under: uncultured bacterium
Lineage: Bacteria
Description: partial 16S ribosomal RNA
Rfam family: Bacterial small subunit ribosomal RNA
Source: RNAcentral